GGGUUAAGUCCCGUAACGAGCGCAACCCUUGUCCUUAGUUACCAGCACGUUAUGGUGGGCACUCUAAGGAGACUGCCGGUGGACAAACCGGAGGAAGUGGGGAUGACGUCAAGUCAUCAUGGCCCUUACGGCCUGGGCUACACACGUGCUACAAUGGUCGGUACAAAGGGUUGCCAAGCCGCGAGGUGGAGCUAAUCCCAUAAAACCGAUCGUAGUCCGGAUCGCAGUCUGCAACUCGACUGCGUGAAGUCGGAAUCGCUAGUAAUCGUGAAUCAGAAUGUCACGGUGAAUACGUUCCCGGGCCUU
RNAcentral lists this ribosomal RNA (306 nucleotides) under uncultured Pseudomonas sp. RNAcentral's name for it is "bacterial SSU rRNA". It matches the Rfam family "Bacterial small subunit ribosomal RNA", at positions 1077 to 1382 of the family's 1533-position model. The record is from RNAcentral. Lineage: Bacteria; Pseudomonadati; Pseudomonadota; Gammaproteobacteria; Pseudomonadales; Pseudomonadaceae.